Molecule: ribosomal RNA, 498 nt
Filed under: uncultured bacterium
Lineage: Bacteria
Description: partial 16S ribosomal RNA
Rfam family: Bacterial small subunit ribosomal RNA
Source: RNAcentral
AUUGAACGCUGGCGGCAUGCCUUACACAUGCAAGUCGAACGGUAACAGGUCUUCGGAUGCUGACGAGUGGCGAACGGGUGAGUAAUACAUCGGAACGUGCCUAGUAGUGGGGGAUAACUACUCGAAAGAGUGGCUAAUACCGCAUGAGAUCUACGGAUGAAAGCAGGGGAUCGCAAGACCUUGUGCUACUAGAGCGGCCGAUGGCAGAUUAGGUAGUUGGUGGGAUAAAAGCUUACCAAGCCGACGAUCUGUAGCUGGUCUGAGAGGACGAUCAGCCACACUGGGACUGAGAAACGGCCCAGACUCCUACGGGAGGCAGCAGUGGGGAAUUUUGGACAAUGGGCGCAAGCCUGAUCCAGCAAUGCCGCGUGCAGGAUGAAGGCCUUCGGGUUGUAAACUGCUUUUGUACGGAACGAAAAGCCCCGGGUUAAUACCAGGGGGUCAUGACGGUACCGUAAGAAUAAGCACCGGCUAACUACGUGCCAGCCGCCGCGGUAA